Molecule: ribosomal RNA, 509 nt
Filed under: uncultured bacterium
Lineage: Bacteria
Description: partial 16S ribosomal RNA
Rfam family: Bacterial small subunit ribosomal RNA
Source: RNAcentral
GACGAACGCUGGCGGCGUGCUUAACACAUGCAAGUGGAGCGACGAACCGGGGCUUGCCCCGGGGCAGAGCCGCGAACGGGUGAGUAACACGUGGGUAACCCACCCCGAUGACCGGGACAACCCGAGGAAACUCGGGCUAAUACCGGAUGUGCUCCUUGAUCUUGAGAUCAAGGCGUAAAGAUAGCUUCGGCCUUCGCAUCGGGACGGGCCCGCGGCCCAUUAGCUUGUUGGUGGGGUAAAGGCCUACCAAGGCGACGAUGGGUAGCUGGUCUGAGAGGACGAUCAGCCACACUGGGACUGAGACACGGCCCAGACUCCUACGGGAGGCAGCAGUGGGGAAUCUUGCACAAUGCGCGAAAGCGUGAUGCAGCAACGCCGCGUGGGGGAAGAAGGCCUUCGGGUUGUAAACCCCUUUCAGUUGGGACGAAGCUUCGCCGGUGAAUAGCCGGCUGGAGUGACGGUACCUUCACAAGAAGCCCCGGCUAACUACGUGCCAGCCGCCGCAGUAA